CAGUAGCCGCGGGAAUACGUAGGGUGCAAGCGUUAAUCGGAAUUACUGGGCGUAAAGCGUGCGCAGGCGGUUAUAUAAGACAGAUGUGAAAUCCCCGGGCUCAACCUGGGAACUGCAUUUGUGACUGUAUAGCUAAAGUACGGCAGAGGGGGAUGGAAUUCCGCGUGUAGCAGUGAAAUGCGUAGAUAUGCGGAGGAACACCGAUGGCGAAGGCAAUCCCCUGGGCCUGUACUGACGCUCAUGCACGAAAGCGUGGGGAGCAAACAGGAUUAGAUACCCCAGUAGUCCCUGUCUCUUAUAC
Molecule: ribosomal RNA, 301 nt
Filed under: uncultured bacterium
Lineage: Bacteria
Description: partial 16S ribosomal RNA
Rfam family: Bacterial small subunit ribosomal RNA
Source: RNAcentral